Molecule: ribosomal RNA, 274 nt
Filed under: uncultured bacterium
Lineage: Bacteria
Description: partial 16S ribosomal RNA
Rfam family: Bacterial small subunit ribosomal RNA
Source: RNAcentral
AUACGGGGGGAGCAAGCGUUGUCCGGAAUUACUGGGCGUAAAGGGCGUGUAGGCGGCUUGAUAAGUCAGAUGUGAAAGCCUUCCGCUUAACGGAAGAACUGCAUUUGAAACUGUCGGGCUUGAGUGCGAGAGAGGGUAGUGGAAUUCCCAGUGUAGCGGUGAAAUGCGUAGAUAUUGGGAAGAACACCAGUAGCGAAGGCGGCUACCUGGCUCGUAACUGACGCUAAGGCGCGAAAGCGUGGGGAGCAAACAGGAUUAGAAACCCUGGUAGUCC